GACGAACGCUGGCGGCGUGCUUAACACAUGCGAGUCGAACGGAAAGGCCCUGCUUUUGUGGGGUGCUCGAGUGGCGAACGGGUGAGUAACACGUGAGUAACCUGCCCUUGACUUUGGGAUAACUUCAGGAAACUGGGGCUAAUACCGGAUAGGAGCUCCUGCUGCAUGGUGGGGGUUGGAAAGUUUCGGCGGUUGGGGAUGGACUCGCGGCUUAUCAGCUUGUUGGUGGGGUAGUGGCUUACCAAGGCUUUGACGGGUAGCCGGCCUGAGAGGGUGACCGGCCACAUUGGGACUGAGAUACGGCCCAGACUCCUACGGGAAGCAGCAGUGGGGAAUAUUGCACAAUGGGCGGAAGCCUGAUGCAGCAACGCCGCGUGCGGGAUGACGGCCUUCGGGUUGUAAACCGCUUUCGCCUGUGACGAAGCGUGAGUGACGGUAAUGGGUAAAGAAGCACCGGCUAACUACGU
This 467-nucleotide ribosomal RNA is filed under the name uncultured bacterium. Its description in RNAcentral is "partial 16S ribosomal RNA". It matches the Rfam family "Bacterial small subunit ribosomal RNA", at positions 28 to 506 of the family's 1533-position model. The record is from RNAcentral.